GAUAGCAAUAUCAUAGUGGCGCACGGGUGCGUAACACGUAUGCAACCUACCUUAUACUGGGGAAUAACUUCGAGAAAUCGGCGCUAAUACCCCAUAACAUUGCGAAGAGGCAUCUCUUUGCACUUAAAGCUCCGGCGGUAUAAGAUGGGCAUGCGUCCAAUUAGCUAGUUGGUGAGGUAAUGGCUCACCAAGGCUACGAUUGGUAGGGGUUCUGAGAGGAUGAUCCCCCACACUGGUACUGAGACACGGACCAGACUCCUACGGGAGGCAGCAGUGAGGAAUAUUGCGCAAUGGACGAAAGUCUGACGCAGCCAUGCCGCGUGCAGGAUGACGGCCCUAUGGGUUGUAAACUGCUUUUGUAUGGGAAUAAACCCUUCUACGUGUAGAAGGCUGAAGGUACCAUAAGAAUAAGCACCGGCUAACUCCGUGCCAGCAGCCGCGGUAAUACGGAGGGUGCAAGCGUUAUCCGGAUUUAUUGGGUUUAAAGGGUCCGUAGGCGGGCCGAUAAGUCAGUGGUGAAAGCCCAUAGCUCAACUAUGGAACUGCCAUUGAUACUGUCGGUCUUGAGUAUAUGUGAUGUUGGCGGAAUGUGUAGUGUAGCGGUGAAAUGCUUAGAUAUUACACAGAACACCGAUUGCGAAGGCAGCUGACAAAUAUAUAACUGACGCUGAGGGACGAAAGUGUGGGGAUCAAACAGGAUUAGAUGCCCUGGUAGUCCACACCGUAAACGAUGAUUACUAGAUUUUGGCCUUAUGGUCAGAGUCCAAGCGAAAGUGUUAAGUAAUC
RNAcentral lists this ribosomal RNA (786 nucleotides) under uncultured Bacteroidota bacterium. RNAcentral describes it as "bacterial SSU rRNA". It matches the Rfam family "Bacterial small subunit ribosomal RNA", at positions 72 to 869 of the family's 1533-position model. Lineage: Bacteria; Pseudomonadati; Bacteroidota. The record is from RNAcentral.